UUCCAUCCCAAGUCUAUUGGAAUUGCCUUGAAUCACCACAUUGCUGAGAAGAGCCAAGUUCAUUGCAGUUAAUCAUCACAUAAUCUUGUGACUGGAUACAAUGUUCUCUUGAUUCUGCUUCUUUACUCAGCAUCAGUUUAUCCAAAUUACAUGGAAAGGAGAGCGUCAAGUCAGAAGAAGCCAUGAGUCGAAGUAGAGUUAGAGCCAGGAGAGAAUUACUUCGGAAGGCAAGAGAGAUAGAUUCAUCUUUGUGCUGGUAGAGGCUGAAGAAAGCAGAGGCAGAGGCUGAAGGACAAACCUUUGGAUUUGGAGACAUUUGGAGGGAGCUUUUGGAACUAAGCAGAGAGACAGGCCUCUAAGAAUCUAGCUAUCUAGGCCCAAGGAAAGAGACAAGACUUGGAAGGAGAAAUAAACAUUUGUAUUUUUACCAGCUGGCUGCAUUUGGGGUAAUUAUUGAUCUGAACUGAUACUAAGGCUGCCUCCAGAAAACCUCCCCGAGAAACCUGCUCUCUCCCCUAGAGAGAACCAUCAUUUAUAUUUCUUAUAUCAUUUUAAAGAAAAAAAAGAUCACUACAUUUUGGCAUUAUUGCACUACCCGUCUGCUUUAUUACUUCCUUACUAGUUCUAAGCAGUGUUUUUUUUUUUUUGGUUUGUUUGUUUGUUUUUUUAAUGAAGGCUAAGAUUGUCUUAGCUUCCUUGGCUUUCAUAUCACACUACUAACUUCUAUGGUGUUUGAAGUUUGCUAAAAAUCCAGUUCUUGUGCCAGCAUCCUGAAUAUUUUGCUUGUAAAGUUUUGUUUUGUUUUGUUUUGUUUAGGCCCAAGUGGGAGACUUUCUAUUUACCUCUAUUAAAUUUCAUCUUACUGGAUUCAGUCCAAUA
Molecule: long non-coding RNA, 879 nt
Organism: Antechinus flavipes (yellow-footed antechinus)
Lineage: Eukaryota; Metazoa; Chordata; Mammalia; Dasyuromorphia; Dasyuridae
Exons: 2
Source: RefSeq, a predicted model, not a curated record